This 229-nucleotide ribosomal RNA is filed under the name uncultured bacterium. RNAcentral describes it as "partial 16S ribosomal RNA". It matches the Rfam family "Bacterial small subunit ribosomal RNA", at positions 568 to 796 of the family's 1533-position model. The record is from RNAcentral.
CGCGUAGGCGGUUUGGCAAGUCUGAUGUGAAAUGUACCGGUUCAACCGGGGCGCUGUAUCAGAAACUGCCUUACUUGAGGUCGAGGGAGGAGAGUGGAAUUCCUGGUGUAGCGGUGAAAUGCGUAGAUAUCAGGAGGAACACCCGUGGCGAAGGCGACUCUCUAUCUCGAUUCUGACGCUGAGGCGCGAAAGCUAGGGGAGCAAACAGGAUUAGAUACCCUGGUAGUCC